GACAGAGGGUGCAAACGUUGUUCGGAAUUACUGGGCGUAAAGCGCGUGUAGGCGGCUUGGCAAGUCGGGUGUGAAAGCCCCGGGCUCAACCUGGGAAGUGCACUCGAAACUGCUUCGCUUGAGUACUGGAGAGGGAAGUGGAAUUCUCGGUGUAGAGGUGAAAUUCGUAGAUAUCGAGAGGAACAUCGGUGGCGAAGGCGGCUUCCUGGACAGUUACUGACGCUGAGACGCGAAAGCGUGGGGAGCAAACAGG
Molecule: ribosomal RNA, 253 nt
Filed under: uncultured bacterium
Lineage: Bacteria
Also listed under: 1 other name
Description: partial 16S ribosomal RNA
Rfam family: Bacterial small subunit ribosomal RNA
Source: RNAcentral